CCGAAUGUUCAGCCAUUCGUAGUCUACGGAUAGUGCGUCACUGGUAACGGUGGGGUGCGAAGCUUCCUGACAAUGUAGCCCUUCUUCUGAAGCAAUCAGAGCUGUGAAGUUUCUGAUCGGAUUCUGCGAGCAAUACGCGGAUGAGGCG
This is a non-coding RNA of Reinekea sp., 148 nucleotides long. The record is from Rfam. Lineage: Bacteria; Pseudomonadati; Pseudomonadota; Gammaproteobacteria; Oceanospirillales; Saccharospirillaceae.